GUGGGGAAUUUUGGGCAAUGGGCGAAAGCCUGACCCAGCAACGCCGCGUGAAGGACGAAAUCCCUCUGGGAUGUAAACUUCGAAAGUCAGGAAAGAAAUCGCCACGGAGAAUACCCGUGGUGGAUGACGGUACCUGACGUAAGCCCCGGCUAACUACGUGCCAGCAGCCGCGGUAAUACGUAGGGGGCAAGCGUUGUUCGGAAUUACUGGGCGUAAAGGGCGCGUAGGCGGCACAGCAAGUCGGGAGUGAAAGCCCGGGGCUCAACCCCGGAACUGCUUUCGAAACUGCUGAGCUAGAGUGCGGAAGGGGCAACUGGAAUUCCCAGUGUAGCGGUGAAAUGCGUAGAUAUUGGGAAGAACACCUGAGGCGAAGGCGGGUUGCUGGGCCGACACUGACGCUGAGGCGCGAAAGCCAGGGGAGCAAACGGGAUUAGAAACCCCUGUAGUCC
RNAcentral lists this ribosomal RNA (449 nucleotides) under uncultured bacterium. Its description in RNAcentral is "bacterial SSU rRNA". It matches the Rfam family "Bacterial small subunit ribosomal RNA", at positions 354 to 796 of the family's 1533-position model. The record is from RNAcentral.